Molecule: ribosomal RNA, 1353 nt
Filed under: Triticum aestivum (bread wheat)
Lineage: Eukaryota; Viridiplantae; Streptophyta; Magnoliopsida; Poales; Poaceae
Description: partial small subunit ribosomal RNA
Source: RNAcentral
AUGUGGCGAUCCUUCCUCGCCCGAUCUCAGCCCCUACUUUCCCAUAUCCGGCGCGGCCCUUCUGGACGCAGCGCCGCCGCCGGCGACACUCUGGUCACACAUCCACGUGCAUACGCCUCCAGCGCCGGUGAGGCCGACGCUGCGAACUCAUUGCGUACGUCGACGAAGAGGCGGCAUCUGUACGUGGUGCUGGACGAGAUGAAGACGGGGCACAGUAUCUACAGACUCGACGUGGACGACCUGGACGGCGGCGACGAGGACGCGGUCACCGGCAUGGACAGCCCACGGCGGGAGUGUGUGCCGCAGCAGACGCCGCCGCCGUGUCAGCUGCCCGAGCCGGUCCUCCGGCUGGGCUAUACAUUGGUCGGUUCAUGGGCACACUUCUCAGCCGUCGGCGGCAAGAUCAUCGUCACAGGGAGCACACGACGUGGUGAUUAUCAUGAGGAAAUCACCUUGGUCUACGACACCAAGACGGCGAGGCUGGACAUGGAGCAGCCUCCGCCUGCCAGUUUCACGCACCGGAGCUGCCACGUCGCUGCCGUCGGGAACAAGUUGUACAGGUUCGGCGGCGGCAGCGUCUGUCCGCCGCACUAUCUCAGCGAGCAGCAGGUGGUUGAGUUGCACGGCGGAUACGAGAGCCACAACGACGACAGGACCAUGCUACGCAUGAGAGGACAGAUCAUGGAGUGGACCUGGAAGGAUGCGCCAUCGCUCCCGGCCGGCGGCGGCGGCCACGUCCAGUCAUGCGCGGUGCAUCCGGACGGACGCACCUUAUUCGUCUCGCGCGGCCCCGCCACCUUCUCCCUGGACACCGAGCAGCAAUGGGCCGGCGAGUGGGCACGCCGAGGCGACUGGGCCAUGCCGUUCCAUGGUCGUGCUUACUACGAUGGUCACCUAGACGCGUGGGUUGGGAUCGGAUACCGAAACGACACCCAAGACUUGAACUACCUCUGCUCCUGCGAGGUCCCAAACCUCGCCGGCGAUCAACCACCCGAGCCAUUGCCGACGCCCGAGUGGAGGGUUUGCAAGGAGGAGCUCACGUUCCUCAAGGGCGCAUCAAGCUGUGCGCUCCUCCACACUGGGCGUGGCCGGUUUUGCCUCGUCGAGGCAAGACCGGUGGUGCCGCUCGCGGAAGCAGGGGCCAAGGAUAGUCAGUGCAACCGGUGCACCAUGUACAAUGGCAAUGACCACCUGCUCCAUGUCACCAUGUUUUGUGCUAAGCAUGGUAGGGACGGCGAGCUCGUGAUGGCACCAUGCCGACCCGGCCGCUCCUACCUUGUGCCCCGUUAUGCUGAGGAUGCUGACGGCGAAGAUGAUCCAGUUGAGAAUCCGCCUGCUGCAUUCUGGAUAUGA